This 253-nucleotide ribosomal RNA is filed under the name uncultured bacterium. RNAcentral's name for it is "partial 16S ribosomal RNA". It matches the Rfam family "Bacterial small subunit ribosomal RNA", at positions 524 to 776 of the family's 1533-position model. The record is from RNAcentral.
GACGUAGGGCGCGAGCGUUGUCCGGAUUUAUUGGGCGUAAAGAGCUCGUAGGCGGUUUGUCGCGUCUGCUGUGAAAACUCGGGGCUUAACUCCGGGCCUGCAGUGGGUACGGGCAGACUAGAGUGCGGUAGGGGAGACUGGAAUUCCUGGUGUAGCGGUGAAAUGCGCAGAUAUCAGGAGGAACACCGAUGGCGAAGGCAGGUCUCUGGGCCACUACUGACGCUGAGAAGCGAAAGCGUGGGGAGCGAACAGG